CCUACGGGAGACAGCAGUGGGGAAUAUUGGGCAAUGGGCGCAAGCCUGACCCAGCAACGCCGCGUGAAGGAAGAAGGCUUUCAGGUUGUAAACUUCUUUUGUCAGGGAAGAGUAGAAGACGGUACCUGACGAAUAAGCCACGGCUAACUACGUGCCAGCAGCCGCGGUAAUACGUAGGUGGCAAGCGUUGUCCGGAUUUACUGGGUGUAAAGGGCGUGUAGCCGGGUUGACAAGUCAGAUGUGAAAUCCUGCGGCUUAACCGCAGAACUGCAUUUGAAACUGUUGAUCUUGAGUACUGGAGAGGCAGAUGGAAUUCCUAGUGUAGCGGUGAAAUGCGUAGAUAUUAGGAGGAACACCAGUGGCGAAGGCGGUCUGCUGGACAGCAACUGACGGUGAGGCGCGAAAGCGUGGGGAGCAAACAGGAUUAGAUACCCCGGUAGUC
This 442-nucleotide ribosomal RNA is filed under the name uncultured bacterium. RNAcentral describes it as "partial 16S ribosomal RNA". It matches the Rfam family "Bacterial small subunit ribosomal RNA", at positions 338 to 795 of the family's 1533-position model. The record is from RNAcentral.